CCUACGGGAGGCAGCAGUGAGGAAUAUUGGUCAAUGGACGGAAGUCUGAACCAGCCAUGCCGCGUGCAGGAAGACGGCUCUAUGAGUUGUAAACUGCUUUUGUACAAGGGUAAACCUGAAUACGUGUAUUCAGCUGAAAGUACUGUACGAAUAAGGAUCGGCUAACUCCGUGCCAGCAGCCGCGGUAAUACGGAGGAUCCAAGCGUUAUCCGGAUUUAUUGGGUUUAAAGGGUGCGUAGGCGGAUUGAUAAGUUAGAGGUGAAAUGUCCGAGUUUAACUCGGGAACUGCCUCUAAUACUGUUGAUCUAGAGAGUAGAUGCGGUAGGCGGAAUGUAUGGUGUAGCGGUGAAAGGCUUAGAGAUCAUACAGAACACCGAUUGCGAAGGCAGCUUACCAAUCUAUAUCUGACGUUGAGGCACGAAAGCGUGGGGAGCAAACAGGAUUAGAUACCCUAGUAGUC
This 460-nucleotide ribosomal RNA is filed under the name uncultured bacterium. RNAcentral describes it as "partial 16S ribosomal RNA". It matches the Rfam family "Bacterial small subunit ribosomal RNA", at positions 338 to 795 of the family's 1533-position model. The record is from RNAcentral.